AUUGAACGCUGGCGGCAGGCCUAACACAUGCAAGUCGAGCGGAUGAAGGGAGCUUGCUCCUGGAUUCAGCGGCGGACGGGUGAGUAAUGCCUAGGAAUCUGCCUGGUAGUGGGGGAUAACGUCCGGAAACGGGCGCUAAUACCGCAUACGUCCUGAGGGAGAAAGUGGGGGAUCUUCGGACCUCACGCUAUCAGAUGAGCCUAGGUCGGAUUAGCUAGUUGGUGGGGUAAAGGCCUACCAAGGCGACGAUCCGUAACUGGUCUGAGAGGAUGAUCAGUCACACUGGAACUGAGACACGGUCCAGACUCCUACGGGAGGCAGCAGUGGGGAAUAUUGGACAAUGGGCGAAAGCCUGAGCCAGCCAUGCCGCGUGUGUGAAGAAGGUCUUCGGAUUGUAAAGCACUUUAAGUUGGGAGGAAGGGCAGUAAGUUAAGACCUUGCUGUUUGGACGUUACCAACAGAAUAAGCACCGGCGAACUUCGG
Molecule: ribosomal RNA, 483 nt
Filed under: uncultured bacterium
Lineage: Bacteria
Description: partial 16S ribosomal RNA
Rfam family: Bacterial small subunit ribosomal RNA
Source: RNAcentral